RNAcentral lists this long non-coding RNA (2013 nucleotides) under Homo sapiens (human). RNAcentral describes it as "non-protein coding lnc-ESRP2-4:3". Lineage: Eukaryota; Metazoa; Chordata; Mammalia; Primates; Hominidae. The record is from RNAcentral.
AGUUCCGUGCGGGGCCAGCUGGCGGCGGCGCUUCCGGGCCCCCGUGGCCGCCACGGCCUGGCCGGUACGGGGUCCGCCGGCCCAGAACGUGAGCGUGGACGCCAGACAGCCCCCAGCUGCCUCGUCAGGGCUCGAGCAGCCCGUGAACUGGGCCCGGCCACGCUCGCCGCCCUGGAGUUAGAUGGGGCCUCCGAGGGCGUCCACAGCGGACAUUCCCGCGGGGAGCUCUCAUCGGCCCCCGCACCCCGUUCCUAUCUCGCACUUGACCUGGGCCCGACGCCCAGGGCGCCCCCUACAGCUCACACAGGGAUCCAAACGGCCUCCGCCGCCGGGCCACUGCCACUCGCAGUCUAGGAACCCCAGGAAGACACACACUCUGGGGACUUGUCCAAACACACGCACAGCUCAGACUCGUAGCCCUUGAGGCCCCCGCACCCACAAAGAAACUGCAGGCUCCCUUUGCCAACCCCAGGCCUCCCUGGGGCUCUGUCCUCAUCUUCCCAAGAGGGCUGCCACCCCUCUUGGGGGAGCUGCACCUCCUGCCCCCCCUCUUGGGGGAGCUGCACCUCCUGCCCCCUUCCCCUCCCUCUGUUUGCUCCUCCAUCUUUCUCUCGAGUUCCUUUUCCUCUGGUGGCUCUGGGGCUCUCUGUCUAGAGCCUCCUGACCUCAUGGGCGCCUGAGCCCUCCUCCGAAAUUUCCUGUCCACACCUCAAGCACUGACUUUCUCCAGGGCCCUGGAAUCUUUUCCCCCAGCCUUAUGACCACAAGUACACGUCCUCUGGUUCCAGACCAUACCCAAGACCCUGCUCCCUGCCACCCAGUGACAGGGACCCAGCCAGAGAUGGGUAGCACCUCAGACCCUUCCUCCCCACUCCUCCCACGGCCUAUACCUCGUUUUCUUCUCCCCAGCCACAACGGCUUCUCAAUCCCUAUCCUGCUCCCCUUACCCCAUCUCCACAGAGUAGGGGAUGCUCCUAGAAUACAGAUUGCGAUGACUUUGUAUCUCCCCUGCCUAAAACCCUUCCAUUCUCCUCUCUGCAGGCCUGGGAUGACAAUACUUGAGGAAUCCUCGCUGGUGCUGCCCUCCUGCCCUCUGCUUGGAACCCCUCCCCUAAGUGUCAGUGAGUGGACGUAUAUAUUUGGAUCAAUCGAGUUGCACCCUUUGCCUCCCAGAUCAGUUCCUCCGGCCUCCCUGGCUGAGCAGAAGGACAGCUCUGGACACUUGUGUCAGCACCCAGCCCACGUGUCCCUGCCACAGCUUCAUAUAAGGUAUGCCGGCUCAGCCGGGCCUGGUGGCUCACGCCUGUAAUCCUACAACUUUGGGAGGCUGAGGCAGGCAGAUCACCUUGAGGUCAGGAGUUCGAGACCAGCCUGACCAACAUGGAGAAACCCCGUCUCUACUAAAAAUACAAAAUUAGCCGAGUGUGGUGGCACAUGCCUGUAAUCGCAGCUACUCAGGAGGCUGAGGCAGGAGAAUCGCUUUAACCCAGGAGGCAGAGGUUGCAGUAAGCCGAGAUCGCGCCAUUGCACUCCAGCCUGGGCAAUAAGAGCGAAAGUCUAUCUCAAAAAAAAAAAAAAAAAAACACCAUAUGCCAGCUCCGUCUGGCUUUGCAGUCUCAUACCCAGUUACGUAGCCCAUCAGCUGAAAGCCCAAUGUACACCACACCCUGAAUCAGAUGUUCUCCAACACCAUCAGUGUUCCUCAGGACCACCCUGCAGGAUACAUUUAUUUGUAACCAUUCUUUUCUUUUGCUUUUAGAGAUCUUGCUGUUGCCCAGGCUGGAGUGCAAUGGCUAUUCACAGGUGUGAUCAUAGCUCACUGCAGCCUCGAACUCCUGGUUUCAAGCGAUCUUCCUGCCUCAGCUUCCUACUUGGGACUACAGAUUUAUUUCAUCUUUUUUUUUUUUUUUGAGAUGUAUCUCGCUCUGUCUUGCUCAGGCUGGAGUGCAGUGGUGCCAUCUUGGCUCACUGCAGCCUCCGCCUCCCAGGUUCCAGUGAUUCUCCUGUCUCGGC